UGGCGGCGUGGAUAAGACAUGCAAGUCGAACGAGAGAAUUGCUAGCUUGCUAAUAAUUCUCUAGUGGCGCACGGGUGAGUAACACGUGAGUAACCUGCCCCCGAGAGCGGGAUAGCCCUGGGAAACUGGGAUUAAUACCGCAUAGUAUCGAAAGAUUAAAGCAGCAAUGCGCUUGGGGAUGGGCUCGCGGCCUAUUAGUUAGUUGGUGAGGUAACGGCUCACCAAGGCGAUGACGGGUAGCCGGUCCGAGAGGAUGUCCGGCCACACUGGAACUGAGACACGGUCCAGACACCUACGGGUGGCAGCAGUCGAGAAUCAUUCACAAUGGGGGAAACCCUGAUGGUGCGACGCCGCGUGGGGGAAUGAAGGUCUUCGGAUUGUAAACCCCUGUCAUGUGGGAGCAAAUUAAAAAGAUAGUACCACAAGAGGAAGAGACGGCUAACUCUGUGCCAGCAGCCGCGGUAAUACAGAGGUCUCAAGCGUUGUUCGGAAUCACUGGGCGUAAAGCGUGCGUAGGCUGUUUCGUAAGUCGUGUGUGAAAGGCGCGGGCUCAACCCGCGGACGGCACAUGAUACUGCGAGACUAGAGUAAUGGAGGGGGAACCGGAAUUCUCGGUGUAGCAGUGAAAUGCGUAGAUAUCGAGAGGAACACUCGUGGCGAAGGCGGGUUCCUGGACAUUAACUGACGCUGAGGCACGAAGGCCAGGGGAGCGAAAGGGAUUAGAUACCCCUGUAGUCCUGGCAGUAAACGGUGCACGCUUGGUGUGCGGGGAAUCGACCCCCUGCGUGCCGGAGCUAACGCGUUAAGCGUGCCGCCUGGGGAGUACGGUCGCAAGAUUAAAACUCAAAGAAAUUGACGGGGACCCGCACAAGCGGUGGAGUAUGUGGCUUAAUUCGAUGCAACGCGAAGAACCUUACCUGGGCUUGACAUGUAAUGAACAACAUGUGAAAGCAUGCGACUCUUCGGAGGCGUUACACAGGUGCUGCAUGGCCGUCGUCAGCUCGUGUCGUGAGAUGUUUGGUUAAGUCCAGCAACGAGCGCAACCCCUGUUGCCAGUUACCAGCACGUGAAGGUGGGGACUCUGGCGAGACUGCCCAGAUCAACUGGGAGGAAGGUGGGGACGACGUCAGGUCAGUAUGGCCCUUAUGCCCAGGGCUGCACACGUACUACAAUGCCCAGUACAGAGGGGGCCGAAGCCGCGAGGCGGAGGAAAUCCUGAAAACUGGGCCCAGUUCGGACUGUAGGCUGCAACCCGCCUACACGAAGCCGGAAUCGCUAGUAAUGGCGCAUCAGCUACGGCGCCGUGAAUACGUUCCCGGGUCUUGUACACACCGCCCGUCACAUCAUGGAAGCCGGUCGCACCCGAAGUAUCUGAAGCCAACCGCAAGGAGGCAGGGUCCUAAGGUGAGACUGGUAACUGGGAUGAA
Molecule: ribosomal RNA, 1427 nt
Filed under: uncultured organism
Description: 16S ribosomal RNA
Rfam family: Bacterial small subunit ribosomal RNA
Source: RNAcentral